This 147-nucleotide small nuclear RNA is filed under the name Marchantia polymorpha subsp. ruderalis. Its description in RNAcentral is "U4 spliceosomal RNA". It matches the Rfam family "U4 spliceosomal RNA". From Rfam's summary of the family: U4 small nuclear RNA (U4 snRNA) is a component of the major U2-dependent spliceosome. The structure of U4 snRNA from yeast and human has been reported. Lineage: Eukaryota; Viridiplantae; Streptophyta; Marchantiopsida; Marchantiales; Marchantiaceae. The record is from Rfam by way of RNAcentral.
AUCUCUGCGCUUGGGGCAAUGACAAAGUCAGUGAGGUGAAACCAAGACGUGUCAAUUGCUGGUUGAAACUAUUUCCACAUUUUAAUGAAAGAUCUAAAGUGAUUGUAUAAUUAAAAAAUGUAUCAAAUUUGCUAUUCAUACAUAUGA